This is a long non-coding RNA of Peromyscus eremicus (cactus mouse), 417 nucleotides long. RefSeq lists it as uncharacterized. The transcript has 3 exons. The record is from RefSeq and is a predicted model, not a curated record. NCBI's taxonomy places the organism in Eukaryota, Metazoa, Chordata, Mammalia, Rodentia, Cricetidae.
CCUUGGAGCUGUUCUAAAGAAGUUCUACAUUUCCAGGUGGCCACAAGAGCACUCUACAGUUUCACUCGAAGAUUGUUCAUCAACAUAGGAGAAUUGAUGAGAUACCUGCCGGGAGGACUAUGGUAACAGCUGUUUGGUCCGCAAGAAAUGAACCAAGUGAAUUCAAAGUACUGAGGGCAUUCAACUGCCGAAUUCCCAGAGUCUGGCCUGUCCACUAAGCCCAAGAUUUAUUAGGAAUUAAAGAGGAUUCCAUCCGAAGGCAUUUGCUAUGUUGGGGCUAGUGCUAUAAAUACACAAAGAAUGAAGAAACAAGACAAGACCCCCCUCAGAGGAGGCUACCUGUCCGGAGAACCAGCACCCAUAAAACUGAAGCAAGGUCCUAUCUGAUCUCCCAAAUAAAUUCCCUUCUUUCCUUGA